AUACCUUGUGCAUGAGGCAGUUGUGUAAGUUGGUACAGUUAUGUCAGUUAAUAACAGACUUUUUGUGUCAGAGACACUGAGCAGUAGGCCUGUUCAGUUCUGCUGCAGUCUGCCUCAAAGUUUGUUGGUCUGUAUGAGUUUUAGUCUUAGUGGUAAGCGAAGAGGGGGCUUGGAGGGGCAUUUCUCCCUCUCUCCAGCUUGAGCUCCUGCACUUCUUUGGAGAAGAAUAUCAGAUAAACCCUAUGACUACUGAGACACCUUUCCAGGAACCAGUGGAUUACACCCUAAAUUAUGUUUAUUUAGAUUAUUUCAAAUUAAAUGCAUCAAUAUUGCCUUGGCUUGAAAUAUCCAUUGAUGUGAACUAAGUGAAACUAGUUUAAGAAUGCAUCUAACCCAUUGCUUCUAAUGAGACAGUCAUCUAAAUAUAUCCUGCUGCUGCUGCUGCUGUUGUUGGUAGUAGCAGUAGUAGCAGUGGUAUUAGUAGUAGUAAUUAAAUUUGUAUACUGCCCUUCAUCUGAAGAUGCUAUCAUUAUUUUCCCCUGGUAAAUGAAACAUUCAUUUAAACCAAAGUAGUGGCUGUGGACAAAAAUAAUCCAUAUUAACAAUGCAUACCCUUAAUCCACACAUUUUCUGUGCUUUUCAUAUCAUAUAUGUGUUUGCUUUUAGUUCACCUAUGCCUGUCUUGACUCAAGGGUGACUGAAAGAAGACAGUACCAUUCCCUGUACCAGAUGGUCCCUAAUGAUGUUCAUGAGUACAAUGGGUUGCUCAAGUUACUUUUGCAUUUCAAAUGGACAUGGAUUGGUCUCUUUACUAUGAAAUACAUUACUGGAGAAAUUUUUUUGGAAGCAUUAGUUCCCCAGCUUACCCUGAAUUACAUCUGUGUUGAUUUUAUACGUAGAAUAUGGACAUUGGCUUAUGCUGAAGGAAUGAC
Molecule: non-coding RNA, 932 nt
Organism: Podarcis lilfordi (Lilford's wall lizard)
Lineage: Eukaryota; Metazoa; Chordata; Lepidosauria; Squamata; Lacertidae
Source: the annotation of a GenBank genome assembly